GCGAAGGACAAGUACCGAAAAAGAUGAAGAACAAUCCUCCAUUCGUUUCACACCACUCAAUCAACCUUCAUCUAUGGAGCCUUUCGGCCAUCACAUAUGCAUUAUCUGACUCUGACUUUUUCUUUGAUUCUACAAAAUAACUUGCACUGUAAGAAUUUUGUUGUGUUUUGCUUUAAUGUAUCAAAGUACCAUCUAAUGUAUUUUUUUUAAACAGACUACAAUAUGUGGCCUUCCAGUAGAAUAGCAGUCACGUGGCAGUCAGCGGAACAUGAGUUUCCUUUAUUUCAAUAUUACUAUGCCACUGCUGAAAAACCACAGACAUUGUCUCCAGAUCUACUGUUUACUGUUUUCCGUCAAACCUCUGCACAUUUAACAUGUUUUGCUCACAAGUAAGAAACGUCAGUGCUUUAUAAAGUAAAUUAUACAGAAAUGUAUUCAAAUUUCUAUAAAUCAAGUCACCUUGAUCUGAAUCAAAGAUCCUGUGUGAAACUCGACGGGUUCCAAAAGGAAUCCAUGCUUAAUAGAAACAUAUCAUGAGUAUCUAACCAAUUUAU
This is a non-coding RNA of Pelobates cultripes (western spadefoot toad), 554 nucleotides long. The record is from the annotation of a GenBank genome assembly. Lineage: Eukaryota; Metazoa; Chordata; Amphibia; Anura; Pelobatidae.